GUAGGUGAACCUGCGGAAGGAUCAUUAUUGAAAUAAACCUGAUGGGUUGUUGCUGGUUCUCUAGGGUGCAAGUGCACGCCUUGUCAUCUUUAUAUCUCCACCUGUGCACCCUUUGUAGACCUUUCAGGUCUAUGUUGCUUCAUUUACCCCAAUGUAUGUUAAUAGAAUGUUGUGCCUAUAAAAUAUAUACAACUUUCAGCAACGGAUCUCUUGGCUCUCGCAUCGAUGAAGAACGCAGCGAAAUGCGAUAAGUAAUGUGAAUUGCAGAAUUCAGUGAAUCAUCGAAUCUUUGAACGCACCUUGCGCUCCUUGGUAUUCCGAGGAGCAUGCCUGUUUGAGUGUCAUUAAUAUAUAUAUAUCAACCAUUCUCUUCUUGUUGAGUGGUUUGGAUGUGGGGGUUUGCUGGCCUUUUGAAGGGUUCAGCUCCCCUGAAAAGCAUUAGCAGAACAACCUGUUCAUUGGUGUGAUAACUAUCUACACUAUUGAAUGUGAAGGGCAGUUCAGCUUUCUAACAGUCUUUGGACAAAAUCAUCAAUGUGACCUCAAAUCAGGUAGGACUACCCGCUGAACUUAAGCAUAUCAAUAAGCGGAGGA
RNAcentral lists this ribosomal RNA (594 nucleotides) under uncultured Cortinarius. RNAcentral's name for it is "eukaryotic LSU rRNA". The stretch from base 191 to 344 matches the Rfam family "5.8S ribosomal RNA". Lineage: Eukaryota; Fungi; Basidiomycota; Agaricomycetes; Agaricales; Cortinariaceae. The record is from RNAcentral.